CAUAUCCAGAACACCAUCUGAUUACAAAUGUGCUAUCUGGGUUAGAUAUUGAGUAUAUCACCAUUGUGUCCAUUAUUGAGGCUUGUUCAUCUGUUACAUGGUAGGAAUUGCAAGACAUCCUUCUGAGCUUCGAUA
Humulus lupulus (European hop) is the source of this 135-nucleotide small nucleolar RNA. RefSeq annotates it as small nucleolar RNA Z247. NCBI's taxonomy places the organism in Eukaryota, Viridiplantae, Streptophyta, Magnoliopsida, Rosales, Cannabaceae. The transcript has a single exon. The record is from RefSeq and is a predicted model, not a curated record.